GGAGCAUGUGGUUUAAUUCGAUGCAACGCGAAGAACCUUACCUACUCUUGACAUCCACAGAACUUUCCAGAGAUGGAUUGGUGCCUUCGGGAACUGUGAGACAGGUGCUGCAUGGCUGUCGUCAGCUCGUGUUGUGAAAUGUUGGGUUAAGUCCCGCAACGAGCGCAACCCUUAUCCUUUGUUGCCAGCGCGUCAUGGCGGGAACUCAAAGGAGACUGCCGGUGAUAAACCGGAGGAAGGUGGGGAUGACGUCAAGUCAUCAUGGCCCUUACGAGUAGGGCUACACACGUGCUACAAUGGCAUAUACAAAGAGAAGCAAACUCGCGAGAGCAAGCGGACCUCAUAAAGUAUGUCGUAGUCCGGAUCGGAGUCUGCAACUCGACUCCNGAAGUCGGAAUCGC
RNAcentral lists this ribosomal RNA (401 nucleotides) under Serratia sp. AZTITEMP205. RNAcentral describes it as "bacterial SSU rRNA". It matches the Rfam family "Bacterial small subunit ribosomal RNA", at positions 934 to 1335 of the family's 1533-position model. The record is from RNAcentral. Lineage: Bacteria; Pseudomonadati; Pseudomonadota; Gammaproteobacteria; Enterobacterales; Yersiniaceae.